GUCAAGAUGUAUUACCUUUAAAUUUGUUGCAAAAUUUUGUAAGCUAUAGGUCGACUCGUGUGACAUGUCCAUGUGGUUUUAUAUAGUACUAAAUUCUAAUUGUGUAUCUUUGCAUAUCUGUUGUGAAAUUAGACUCAAGUCGCCUCAUAUCAUGCGUCAAGAAUCGUGACUGAGUGGACCGAAUCCGGGCUAUAACCUUCAGAGAGGCCAGGGAUGCUGGCACAUCCUUCAUUUCACGUUCCUGGAUAGCUAAAUACGUUAAAAGAGAUGAAUCCUAUGUUGAAAGAAACUGGAACAAAAAUCCAUAUGACUGUCACUGCAAAAAGAGUGAGAAUCUUGGAAGCCCUGAAGUCCUUUCUCAGGAGUCAAAAGACAUCAUAGCUGAGGCAGUGGGUAGACCAAGAAAGUCUUUACGUAAAUUGACGCUUGAACUAGAAACAAAAAGGGGAAAGAAGAGAAGUUAUAGUGCUGUAUAUCGUGAGUUGAAAAAAAUCUGGUAUCAAGCCAUUUCAUGUUAUCAGCAAGCCCAACAUCACUCAGCAACAGAGAAGACUGUGCAUGGUUUUGUGGUUCAUUUCUUAAAGAUUGGGAUGAAGCUGACUCUCUGCAUGUUGCUGUAUCAGAUGAAUUCUUCAUUUACACAGUCAAGAAGCCAAAUCAUAAAAAUGACAUCAUUUGGGCUGCAAAGUUGGAUGAUAUCAGCGAUGAUGUCCGCUAUCGCCAAGUUGUGAAAUUUCCUGAGUGUGUGGGAAUUUUUCUCUGUUUCACAGCCACACAGUUAAUGUGGAUCAUUAAAGAAAAAGGACAGUCAUGGAAUGGUGAAUACUUCAGAGAAACUGUGCUUACUGGUGGAGUAUUUCCUUUCCUCAAAGAUCCUGAUAAUGUGUUAUCUGUGGAAAAAGUCUCAUUUUUGCAUGAUAAGGCACCAUGUUUCAAGGCUCUUCAGACACAGGAGCUGCUUCGAAACAAUGGUAUCGAUUUCUUCUUGUCAAGUGAAUUUCCAGGUAGCCCCCCUGACCUUAAUGUGUGUGAAAACAUUGGUAGUAUCUUAAAGGAUAGUGUUGAAGUGUGCACAGUGAACUUUGAUGGUAGUAUUAGUAUACCAAGCCUCGGCGACCUGCGAAGAGAGGUGACCGAAGUGCUCAGGGAAAUGGAGUUGGAGUCUCAGCUUUUUUGCAAUUUGGUACAGACAGAUGGAGGCCACACACAAUAUUAAAUACUCAGAGAGAAACUUAAAUAAAUAUAUGUUCUGAAUUACUUUUGUUUUUGUCCAUAUCAAUUUUAGUUUAUGCUGCAGAGGGGUGGGGGCCUUUAAUUUCGAAACACCCUGUA
Molecule: long non-coding RNA, 1332 nt
Organism: Macrobrachium nipponense
Lineage: Eukaryota; Metazoa; Arthropoda; Malacostraca; Decapoda; Palaemonidae
Exons: 3
Source: RefSeq, a predicted model, not a curated record